Molecule: ribosomal RNA, 497 nt
Filed under: uncultured bacterium
Lineage: Bacteria
Description: partial 16S ribosomal RNA
Rfam family: Bacterial small subunit ribosomal RNA
Source: RNAcentral
GAUGAACGCUGGCGGCGUGCCUAACACAUGCAAGUCGAGCGAAAAGACCAGGUGCUUUCUCCUCUGACGUUAGCGGCGGAUGGGUCAUGAACACGUGGAUAACCUACCUAUAAGACUGGGAUGACAUUGGGAAAACUAACCUAAUACCGGAUAAUAUAUUGGACCGCAUGGGUCAAGAGUUAAAGACGCUAGUUCGGCCCCUUGUAGAUGAACCCGUUCCGGAUGAGAUAGUUGGUAAGGUAAAGGCUUAGCAAGGCAACGAUGGGUAGCCGACCUGAGAGGGGGAUCGGCCACACUGGAACUGAGCCACGGUCCAGACUCCUGCGGGAGGCCGCAGUAGGGAAUCUUCCGCAAUGGGCGAGAGCCUUACGGAGCAGCGCCGCGUGAGUGAUGAAGGUCUUCGGAUCGUGAAGCUCGGUUAUUAGGGGAGAACAAAUGUGUACGUAACCAUGCCCGUAUUGACGGUACCUGCAGAAAAAGCCCCGGCUAACUACGUG